UCACGUCAGGUGAUUACCGAAAGAUAAUGCGACGCGGCACGGUAGCACUGAACGGUACUCAACAUCAUUUGUUACCCUUUGGAUUGUGUUCUACCAGGAGGUCGUAGUCGAGGUGUCCCGUUCAAAUGAACAAGCGCAAGCCUUAAGUACUUGCCCAUGUGGUUGGAUGCGGCAGGCGUUAGAGCAUGCACUCAGCGCAAACGCUGGCGUAUCGACGUAUUUCGGACUUUCUCCACCAUCCGGUCCUCACCCUGCGUACCCAUUCCCGGUAGAGCCCUCUCCCGACUCAUGUAGUACUGCCGCGCGAGCGCCAGUCGCUUAGGAUUAUUCAGACAAGUAACAGUAGCUUUGGCAGCCUGUUUUAAGUUUUAUCAGCGUGCGUGGUUCCGAUGCUCUUUCGGCCAACGUCCUACCACUAAUAUACUAACUGUGGCCUAUAAUUACCAGCGUUGAAGAUGUUCAUCAUUGGAUAUUAAAUUGGUACAGUUAUCUGGGAGCUGGUCGUACGCUGGAUAACUGAGUGGAAUUAGGACAUACUGUUGGAGUGAGGGAUAACCAGUUUCCCACAGAUAUGUAAAUGGAAAAACUGUGGAGCGUUAAAAAGCGGAUUAUUAACAAGCGGAACGUUUAACUUUUUGCCAUACUAAAUGUCGCUCUCAGGUGGAAACUGCGGUGAUGCGGAUAGAGCUAUGUAACUUGCGGUUGCCUUCGCUCUAACUACGUCACAGUCCUAUUCAGGUCUAUUUGACUACUGUUAGGACAAAGGGCAGAUAACAGAUCAACUGGAAUAUGUGCUUAAGCAACAACAGUGAUAAACAAACCCAUGACAACUGAAAGCUCAUUGGCUUUCAGCUAGCGAACAUUCACCAUUCACUUGCAUGUAAGCCGAGCAAUAAAUAAGCCUGCAGUAUCAUCAGCUACUGAUGACAGUUAUUAACCUCGAAUCGGGUUAUUGCACCAUCACCCAGUGACUGUUUGCCACUGCCGGAAGCUGUGACUGCUUGGCAGAUAAUGCGUGUGUUUACCUCUGAGCGCGUGCAUGUGUAUGUUUCAGUGCGUGCGGUUGCGUGUUCUUCACUACCUUCUGAUGAUCUAAUCUGCAACAUAUGUAGCACGUGACUUGAAAAGUGUCGGCCAUUAGCAUCAUUGCUAACAACAGCCAUAAGACUCGUCAUCUGUAACAACAACAACAACAACACCGGCCCGGCGAUGAGCAAAAAAGCGACAGGGAAAAAUGUAGCUGAAGGAAAAAGACUGCAUCGCUCGCAACAUCAUCACUGUGAUAAUUCAGUUUCCCGAUGACCGGGUUGUAGUAGUGUCGGAUAGUAGCCCAAAUACGGGCAUGCAGUACGGAGACCGUAGCAACAGAGGCACCAGCAGGAAUAGGAGACCGCACAACAGGCUGCAUGCGGACUAGCAAGUCGGGUAAGGCAAAUCUACACACAAUUGUAGUGUGAUAAAAAGACAACUUCAAUUCGGCUGAAAUCGUCGAUUGAGCCCCAAUCUACUGAUUAUAAUGAUGCUAAAAAAACAAUAUGUCAUGACACUACUAUCGAAAACGUCUCGAAGGUUCAUGUCAACGAUUAUGGAGCAGUUUAGGUGGCGAGUGACUUCUAGCCAAAGGACGUUCAACAUGACAGCAGAACAAAAUCGUCCACCCAAGCUUCCGCAAUAAUAGGGCAUGUGCCUGAUAGAUUAUAUAAAGACAGUGGUGGACCUUAAACUUGAAACAGUUAGCCAAUAAAGCUUGUACAUUCGCUGUGGUUUAUAGACGGUACAUGUUAUGAAGUGUCGCUUAAUGAUCUGCGUCUUUAGUAAUAAAAAUUGCACUUUUGCCGUAUA
Molecule: long non-coding RNA, 1842 nt
Filed under: Varroa destructor (honeybee mite)
Lineage: Eukaryota; Metazoa; Arthropoda; Arachnida; Mesostigmata; Varroidae
Description: uncharacterized LOC111250431
Source: RNAcentral